AACUAACGCUGGCAGUGCGUCUUAAGCAUGCAAGUCAAACGGGAUGUAGCAAUACAUCUAGUGGCGAACGGGUGAGUAACGCGUGGAUGAUCUACCUACGAGAUGGGGAUAACUAUUAGAAAUAGUAGCUAAUACCGAAUAAAGUCAAUUAAUUUGUUAAUUGAUGAAAGGAAGCCUUUAAAGCUUCGCUUGUAGAUGAGUCUGCGUCUUAUUAGCUAGUUGGUAGGGUAAAUGCCUACCAAGGCGAUGAUAAGUAACCGGCCUGAGAGGGUGAACGGUCACACUGGAACUGAGAUACGGUCCAGACUCCUACGGGAGGCAGCAGCUAAGAAUCUUCCGCAAUGGGCGAAAGCCUGACGGAGCGACACUGCGUGAAUGAAGAAGGUCGAAAGAUUGUAAAAUUCUUUUAUAAAUGAGGAAUAAGCUUUGUAGGAAAUGACAAAGUGAUGACGUUAAUUUAUGAAUAAGCCCCGGCUAAUUACGUGCCAGCAGCCGCGG
This 498-nucleotide ribosomal RNA is filed under the name Borreliella burgdorferi (Lyme disease spirochete). RNAcentral's name for it is "bacterial SSU rRNA". It matches the Rfam family "Bacterial small subunit ribosomal RNA", at positions 29 to 520 of the family's 1533-position model. Lineage: Bacteria; Pseudomonadati; Spirochaetota; Spirochaetia; Spirochaetales; Borreliaceae. The record is from RNAcentral.